Molecule: long non-coding RNA, 624 nt
Organism: Callithrix jacchus (white-tufted-ear marmoset)
Lineage: Eukaryota; Metazoa; Chordata; Mammalia; Primates; Cebidae
Source: RefSeq, a predicted model, not a curated record
CCUGGGAAAAGAACCAGGAGAGAAGCCCCUCAGAUCCUCCCUCCUGGGGGGAGAAUGACAGAAGAGGAGUUUGGGUAGCACCUCUGGAGCCCCUGCCAUAGGGCGACCUCCCUGCCGGUUCCCCAGGCCUGCCUUGCCCAGGCUGGGUCAGCCCUGGCCCGAGCGAGCUCUGCCGUCUCCAAGGGGAAGCGGCCCUUGGUUACCACUGGCCUGGAGAACACAGAAGGCAAAACAAACACUGGAGGCCGCUCCCGGCCCAGACUCGCUCCUCACUGCUGGGAACAAUUACAAGAGACGAGAAUAAACGCCUACCCUGGCAGACUGCAGAGCAGCACCGAAGAUAAUGAAUACACACGAACAGUCUACAGUUCCCAGCACACACCAGAGGAUUGGAACAGACAAUACAGAGAAAAAGCAAAUGCAAAUGUACGUAAAAAAAGACCCAGAAAAUUACAAGCGUUGGCAAGGAUGUGGAGAAACUGGAACCUUUGUGUAUCAUUGAUGGAAAUGCAAAACGGCAUAGCCUGCUGGACACAGUCAGUGGUUCCUCAAAAAACUCACAAUGGAAUGAGCCUACCAUCCCGCGGCUCAACACUACUCAACUGCAUGUCUUAAAUGGUUAAA